Molecule: long non-coding RNA, 511 nt
Filed under: Betta splendens (Siamese fighting fish)
Lineage: Eukaryota; Metazoa; Chordata; Actinopteri; Anabantiformes; Osphronemidae
Description: lncRNA (ENSBSLG00000000214.1)
Source: RNAcentral
AUGACCAUUAGAGGCUGUUCUGAAGGACACCAAUGCAGAAACACUAAAACAUCGUUUUUGAGCUUUUCAGGCUGUAGAAACACUAGUUCAAACCACGGCAAUGCAACUGCACAUUUAGGAAGCAUUGAGCUAGUUGAAAGUAUUCUGGCAUCAGAACAUGACCAUUAGAGGCUGUUCUGAAUGAAACCAAUGCAUAAACACUAAAACAUUGUUUUUGAGCUUUUCAGGUCAUAAGAACACUAGUUUAAACCACGGCAUAUGCAACUGUGCUUUUUAGGGUGUAUUGACCUGUUUUAAAGUUGCCUGGCAUCAGAACAUGACCAUUAGAGGCUGUUCGGUGGAAAACAAUGCAAAAACACUAAAACAUCUUUUUUGAGCUUUUCAUGUCAUAAGAAAUCUAGUUUAAACAACGGCAUAUGCAACUGUACAUUUAGGAUGCAUUGAGCUGUUUGACAGUAUUUGUCAGACUCGAAGCAGGCGGCGGACCCACAUGCACAGCACGGAGGCGAGA